CUGUUUCCCUUCCCUCUUACGUUUUCUCUUCGCUACGACUUCGACGUCAGCGCCACCUGUCGUUUUCCGACCCAACCGAUCGAGCCGGGGGUUGGUUUUGUUUACGUGUAUGGAUGGAGUACUUUAAGAGCGGACUCAAGUCCGUCCUGGGGGCCCCGCAGCCCGGCCAGCAGCCCUCCGGGGCCGACACGGUGGAGCGUCUGAUCCAGCGUGUGCAGACGUCGACCCUGCUGGAAGACCGGCGCGAUGCUUGCAGGGCCCUGAAGGCGCUGUCCAAGACCUACCGGCUCGAGGUCGGUGCCCACGGCAUGGACACGCUCUGCUACGAACUUGUGCAGGACAGGAAUGACUCCGAGACCAUUGGAUACACACUUGACGCCCUCUGCAAUGUACUUUCACCUGAAACCUUCGAGGAGGAAGAAGGUCUGAAGAGAUUUUUAUGUGAUUUGAGAGUAUUUAAUAUUUUGUUUGAAUUUAUAGAGCGAGGGACGGACUCGGUUGGAGGACAGUUUACGGAAAUCUUCAUUAAACAGUCGCAGAACGUGUCUCUGGUCCUGGAGAUGCUCGAGGAGUUUGAGUUCCACGUGCGGUGGCCGGCGGUCAAACUGCUGUCCAGCAUGCUCGCGCACCGGGCCCGCGAGGUGCAGGAGCUCGUCCUCACCAGUCCGAUGGGCGUGUCUAAACUCAUGGACCUCCUUAGUGACUCAAGAGAAGUCAUUCGCAACGACGCCUUAUUGUUGUUGAUCUCGCUGACGAAAGGGAACGCAAACAUCCAGAAAAUCGUGGCGUUCGAGAACGCCUUUGACCGCUUGUUUGAGGUAAUCGCGAGCGAGGGUGGACUGGAUGGCGGAAUCGUGGUCGAGGACUGUCUGCUCCUGAUGUACAACCUGCUGCGGGCCAACCCGAGCAACCAGAACUUCUUCAAGGAGGGCAGCUUCAUCCAGAAACUGACGCCAAUGCUGCAGCCCGGCAGCGAGGACGGCUGGGCGGCCCAAAGGGCAGCAAACUGCCACGCACUCUUGCAGGUUUUGCGGACGUUGGUUGCUCCUGCAAAUCCGGCACAGGCGACCUCGGCAUGCCAACAGAUAAUGCGGGGCAGCGGCCUGCUGGGCAGCUUGAGCGACUCUCUGAUGGCCUCUGGCGUGCCGGCGGACGUGCUGACCGAAACAGUUUGCUCUGUGGCCGAGGUGAUGCGUGGCUGUGGCGAAAAUCAGACAUUCUUCAGCCAGGUGAUGGCGCCGUCUAACCCACCAAGGCCAGCGCUCGUCGUCCUUCUCAUGUCCAUGGUCAACGAGAAGCAGCCGCUGGCGCUCAGGUGUGCCGUCCUCUACUGCUUCCAGUGCUUCCUCCACCGAAACCAGGAUGGACAAGCGCAGCUUGCCCAAACUCUCUUGCCAGCCACCACAGAACAAGUGUCUGGCGUGACAAGUGGCACCCUUUUGUGCGGCGGCCUGUUCAGUCCGGACACGUUGACCAACUGGUUUUCUUGCGUGGCGCUGAGCCACUCACUAGUGGACAACCCCGGCACCAAAGAGCAACUACUGCGGGUUCAGCUGGCUCCCGCGGAGGGCCACCCUGGCGUGCACCUUCUGCCGCAGUGCCUGGCACUCCUGCAGCAGGCGCAGCGGCCGCAGACGCGCCUCGGCCUGCUGCAGCUGCUGGCCCAGUGGCUGGCCCACUGUUCUGCGGCCGUCGGCCACCUGCUGUCCACGCCCAACGCCGUCGCCCACCUUACGGCCGUCGUCUGUGACGUCUCCGAGGAGGAGCUCGUCCGUGGCCUCUCUGCCUUCGUGCUUGGCCUCUGUGUGGCCUUCAAUGACGACGCUGUUGUCUCUUUUGGCCGCCUUGCCCUCGUCCAGCUCAUCAACAAGAGGAUUGGAACUGAGGCCUUCCUCGACCGUGUCGCCGACACCACCAGACAUGAAGCGUAUGCCAAGGCUGCAAAGCACCCUCAGCCCACUGCUGCCACAGCCGCCGACCUCCAGCUGGACCACGAGUUCUGCAGACUGCUCAAAGCUCUCGAAAACGUGGUGGCUCGUGCGGUUGCGCCAAAGCCCGAGGAGGUGGUGGAGCAGGUGGGCAGCGCGCAGUACAAAGUUCUGAUCCGUCAGCAGGACGAGCAGUUGGCCCAGCUGAGCCGGCAGUUGGCGCAGGUGACGGCCGAGCGGGACCACUUGGCCGCUCAGGUGAACCAGCUGGCGGCCCAGGUGGCGCAGCUGCGCGACCAGAACUCGGUGUUGAAGGCGGCCGGUGACGAGGGCGGCCUCCAGGCCAGGGUGGCCGAGCUGCAGCAACAGGUGGCCAAGGCGGCCACCGACCAGGAGGACCUGCUUGAGCUCAUGGACGACCAGGAAGCCAAGCUGACCAAAUACAGAAACAGACUGAAGCAGCUCGGGGAGAAGGUCGAUCAAGUUAAUCAUGAUUCGAUUCGAAUGAGUUGUUAAAUUCUUAAAAGGAUUUUAAUUUUGCAGAUUUCAGUUUGAACAGGAGAUUUUAAGUUGUAUGCACGGUGGAGGAUGACGACGAAGUGGAAGACGAGGUCGCUGCCCUCACAGCUCAGGUCGUGAUCAACUAGUCGUGCGACUGUUCGCCUCAAAUGAAUUAUGAUUCCAUUAAACCUGUUGAAAAUAAAAGUAUUUAUAUUAAGCGAGAUGAAA
Molecule: RNA transcript, 2657 nt
Organism: Cloeon dipterum
Lineage: Eukaryota; Metazoa; Arthropoda; Insecta; Ephemeroptera; Baetidae
Gene: p115
Gene name: General vesicular transport factor p115
Exons: 8
Source: RefSeq, a predicted model, not a curated record